Molecule: ribosomal RNA, 483 nt
Filed under: uncultured bacterium
Lineage: Bacteria
Description: partial 16S ribosomal RNA
Rfam family: Bacterial small subunit ribosomal RNA
Source: RNAcentral
AGUGAACGCUGGCGGCAGGCCUAACACAUGCAAGUCGAGCGGCAGCGCGGGGGCAACCCUGGCGGCGAGCGGCGGACGGGUGAGGAAUUCGUCGGAAUCUGCCUUUUUGUGGGGGAUAACGUAGGGAACUUACGCUAAUACCGCAUACGUCCUACGGGAGAAAGUGGGGGACCGCAAGGCCUCACGCAGAAAGAUGAGCCGACGACCGAUUAGCUAGUUGGUGGGGUAAAGGCCCACCAAGGCGACGAUCGGUAGCUGGUCUGAGAGGAUGAUCAGCCACACUGGGACUGAGACACGGCCCAGACUCCUACGGGAGGCAGCAGUGGGGAAUAUUGGACAAUGGGCGCAAGCCUGAUCCAGCCAUGCCGCGUGUGUGAAGAAGGCCUUCGGGUUGUAAAGCACUUUUGUCCGGAAAGAAAUCCCUGGAGCUAAUACCUUCGGGGGAUGACGGUACCGGAAGAAUAAGCACCGGCUAACUUCGUG